GGAAUUAAAAAUAUAUUAAUCAACAUAUACAUUUCAAUAGAAGUUUAGAACAUAAUAAUAGAAAGCAAAAAAAAAUAUAUAUCAAGAAGUAGAAAGCAGGAGUGAAAAAAGGAAAGACAAAGUCCCAAAAUAAGAAGUCCAACAUUUCUGAAAUUCCAGAAAAAGAACAGGAGAGAAGAAAUUGCCCAAGAGAAUAUAGAAAGAUUUCCCCAGAAUUGAGGACCACCGCAUCCAAAUUAAAAAGGCAGUUUGAGUGUCAAACACAAUGAGUGAAAAGAUCACACCAUAUUGAAAUGUCGAAACUGCAGAAAGAGAAGAUGCCAGAGAUGUCCACGGAGGAAACAAAGGAAUGGAGUCAGAAAUCAGAAUGGCAAAACUAAAGGUUGCUCAUAAAAUCUCGAAGUCUGGGAGUCCCUGUGAUAGCUUUACAAUGACUCUGGAAAAAACCUUGAGAAUCCUCCAAAGCUGUUUUCCAUAUAAGACAGUCCCUGCUCAGAUCCCUGGGCUUUGCUGUUCUAUACUCUCCAGGAAGCUACAGCAGGAGGCAGGGAGGCCAGGACCCUCACCUCCACUCAAAUACCAACAUGCAGGACAGAUGGAAAGCCGGCCUCAGCUCAACCAAAGCUACAGGGAGGGCACCCCAUCAUGCAAACCAGUAAGGAAGCAGCCUCACCUAGCCACCUGCUAUUCCCUCCCCACCCACUUGUUGUAAGCCUUCUAGAAUAAAAUGGAUAUGAAGCUUUAAUU
Molecule: long non-coding RNA, 747 nt
Filed under: Ictidomys tridecemlineatus (thirteen-lined ground squirrel)
Lineage: Eukaryota; Metazoa; Chordata; Mammalia; Rodentia; Sciuridae
Description: lncRNA (ENSSTOG00000031484.1)
Source: RNAcentral